RNAcentral lists this ribosomal RNA (406 nucleotides) under Klebsiella pneumoniae. RNAcentral describes it as "partial 23S ribosomal RNA". It matches the Rfam family "Bacterial large subunit ribosomal RNA", at positions 1446 to 1838 of the family's 2925-position model. The record is from RNAcentral. Lineage: Bacteria; Pseudomonadati; Pseudomonadota; Gammaproteobacteria; Enterobacterales; Enterobacteriaceae.
UGGUGUUACUGCGAAGGGGGGACGGAGAAGGCUAUGUUAGCCGGGCGACGGUUGUCCCGGUUUAAGCAUGUAGGCUGAUUGUCCAGGCAAAUCCGGAUAAUCAAGGCUGAGGUGUGAUGACGAGGCACUACGGUGCUGAAGUAACAAAUGCCCUGCUUCCAGGAAAAGCCUCUAAGCAUCAGGUAACAUCAAAUCGUACCCCAAACCGACACAGGUGGUCAGGUAGAGAAUACCAAGGCGCUUGAGAGAACUCGGGUGAAGGAACUAGGCAAAAUGGUGCCGUAACUUCGGGAGAAGGCACGCUGGUGUGUAGGUGAAGUCCCUGCGGAUGGAGCUGAGACCAGUCGAAGAUACCAGCUGGCUGCAACUGUUUAUUAAAAACACAGCACUGUGCAAACACGAAAGU